This 133-nucleotide ribosomal RNA is filed under the name uncultured bacterium. Its description in RNAcentral is "partial 16S ribosomal RNA". The record is from RNAcentral.
GUGGUACCGUCAACACAUGGCAGUAUUAACACCAUAUGACUUCUUCCCACUUGACAGAGCUUUACGACCCGAAAGCCUUCAUCACUCACGCGGCGUUGCUGCGUCAGGGUUUCCCCCAUUGCGCAAAAUUCCU